Xenopus laevis (African clawed frog) is the source of this 4999-nucleotide long non-coding RNA. RefSeq lists it as uncharacterized. The transcript has 4 exons. NCBI's taxonomy places the organism in Eukaryota, Metazoa, Chordata, Amphibia, Anura, Pipidae. The record is from RefSeq and is a predicted model, not a curated record.
GCUCACCUAUUCGUGAGCUGCAAAUUCAAACAUGGGAAAGUGGUAAUGGGUUCUAGUGGCGGGCUGUGGACUCUGCAACUAAAUUCCUAGGGUUGCCAACUUGUAUUGUAGGUUUACAGCAUUCACAGCAUUGUAAUCUGAUUGUUCGGUCCCAGGGCCGAAUGUUCUGAUUAAUCUGGUAUUGCCCAGCCGUUAGUGGGCAUAUCAGGUUAAGAUUCGCUUGUUUGGCGACCUCUAAUAGUGUAUGGCCACCUUUAGUCAGCGACUCUCUCUGGACAUGAGUAACUUCAGUGAGUGCUUCAGAACAGACCCCUGCAGCUUUCACUGUGAGCAGAAAAACCUCUGUACCUAUGUGUCUCUCAAAAGCUCACUGACAGCUGCUAACACUGGGGGGGGGGUACAGCAGGGGCAGGGCCCUGAGACAGUAAUCCCAGUGAGCCCCGGACCCCCAGCCGACCCUGACAACAUAUGUAAGGGCUAGACUGGAGGCGCAUGAGUUUGGUGCUAGUUUGGAUAGAAAAGUUGUAUGGAACAAUUAUAUAAAAAUCUUCUUUUAUUGAAUCUUCUUUAAAAACACACAAAAAUACGGAUGUGUGUUAUAUACUUAUACUUAUGUAUAAGUAUAUAAAUAAAUAUAUAUAUAUAUAUAUAUAUAUAUAUGUACACAACAUUGAUAAGUUGUAUAUAAUGUAAAUAAACAAAUAAAUGAAGUUGCCUAUCAAAAAUAAGUAGCUCCAAAGCACACAAAUAAAGAAACCAUAUUAAGUAAAAAAAACAAAAUAAAGAAAAAAACAAAUAAAGAAUAAUAUACUUAUACAUAUUUUUCCUAGUUUAUAUCGUUAUAUUAUAACAUAUUAUAAUGCAUUAUAUCAUAUUGAUUAAAUAUGUUUUUGAAACCUCAUACUGGGAUGUAUGUUAAUGUGAUUAUGUUUUUAAUCAGAUUGAUUGGUAUUACCAGGUGUUUUUAAUUAAUGGAUUAAGCAAUUUGUAUAAAUAUGUUGCCAGCAGGGGGUGCUUUUGGCUUCUGAUGAAGUGACCGCUGUAGUCACGAAAGGCGUUGAGCCAUGUACUCCCCUGCUCUGCUCAUCCGGAUUUUUGUGUGUUUUUAAAGAAGAUUCAAUAAAAGAAGAUUUUUAUACAAUUGUUCCAUACAACUUUUCUAUCCAAACUAGCACCAAACUCAUGCGCCUCCAGUCUAGUACUUGCCUUACCCAAGUGACCACAGUGGAUUGUUUGUAUGUUCUGGAUAGAGCUAUCACCCAGCCCCACAAGUGGAUCUUGUUUGCAUGCACUCCCAAACAUAUGUAAGGGCACAGCCUGCCACUAGACAUUUAAAGUCAAAUGUGGUAAUAACUAAGCUGGUAUGCAAGAAUAUGAUAGAAAAAAUAUUAUUUCAGAUGCUGGAGCAUACAACUACCAGCAUCCUCCCUGCUAGUGCAGGAAUAUGUGGAAGUGCCACAACAGGAUCAAACCUUUUGUUUUAUAUGUGACAUUUAGUACUAAAGUUACACUUCCUACGCUAAAUGCAGAACCCCCCGUACCCCCUCCGUUGGGGCCCCCGUUACUACCUCAGAGAUCUCUGUGUGUCUCUAGCCAUUGCUUAACUACAAAGCUGUCCCCGUGAUAACUAGUAGCUGAGCUGUAGUUCAGUUACAGACAGAGAUCUAAGCAGGGCCGUCAUUAAAUGGGAACAGGGCGGGGUCCAGUCAGGGGUCCCAGGAGAUCUGAUGGGGCCCCUGGUUCUAAAGCUGCUUAUGUUUAUAAUUUAUUAGUGUUGUAUAGUUUAUUAGUGUUGUUUCAGAAUGUGCAAGUAUGUGCAUGUAUGCGAUUGCCUGUCAGUUACUGGGAUAUCAUGUCUUAUAUCGGUGACAUCACUCCCAGCUCAGCUCUGAUUGGCUGAAAGCUGCAAGGAAGGUGAUCUAAUGGCUCAGCUACAAAUGACCGUUAUUUCAUUUCUGGAUUCAGAGGUAAGUGCAGCAGAUCCAUACUUGGGGAACAGGGGGCAUAUUUAGAUGAUACAAAGGGCAAUUUUGGGUGUUUUGUCACCCAUCAUUUAUAGUAGCUUGGGUAGUGGGGGCAUCGCUUCUAAAAUUGCCCCACUGCCUACCAAUCUAAUUGCUUGGGGAGCUGCUUGUCAUGAAACUGUUCCAAAUGCCAUCUGUAUGACAAGCAGGAAUGGGGGGGUUAAUUUAAGGCAACUUGCCGUUAUAUUCCUGCAAUUGUACAUGGGAACUGCAGCCUGUUGAGAGGUACUGAACAUAUAUUCAAAUAAACUCAGUAUUAAUUGGUUACAGAUACCUAGAUAUUACACUUAUACAGGGUAUCACCUGAAAAUGGGUUUCUGAUGGCAGCCCUGACACAUAUGGGUGUCAAAGUGCCUAAAAUCUCCCCAUAUGCCAUCUCUAAUGGGAGUAGGACCAUAAAAACUUAUAGUUCUAAGGCAAUGGGUGUUUGGUUUACUUGUUGCAUUUGAAACAUUAGACAAUUUCCUCUGCUGUAAAUGCCAACGGUCAUUUGCCAACUGUCAUUUUACAACGGUCGCACUCAUCCUGGGGUGGGUGACAGUUCAGAGAGGCUUAAGUAGAAAGACAAGUAGCACAAAUCAGAAUAAUAAAUGUCUGCCCUUAGGAUUCCUGGCAUUAAGGGUGCAGGGGCACUGAUCAGAACACAGCUGGUUAUGGGAAGCAGGCACACUAGGUACAUGCAGGGGGAAAGGGAAACCAAUAGGAAUACGGAGAUGACCCCUGUAUUAAUAUAACCAAGGAUUCAUAGAGCAUGAUGGGAUCUGUAGUGCUGUUACAAGCCCGCCCUGAUCAUGACAUGAUAAGCAAUACAAAUGCUACAUACCUCUUAUGGUCAACCCUUAUAGUGCAUCAUGGGAGAUGAUGAAGGCCCUUUCCACAUGCCAGUGAUAAAAGCCUACAUCCUGAUUGCCCAACAUUUUUGUUAGCUAAAUAGCACACACAACAUCAGUCAGGCUCCCUCACUUCCAAUUACAGCCUUAUAGUGAGUGCAUUAUGGGAUCUGUAGUUUAUGCAUUGGCAUACUAUUUUUAAUCACAGUGUAGAAGGAUAUAGAGCUGACUGCCAUUUACAGCAUCUGGGGCUCUAGAAGUGGCAGGGUCCACAGCCCCCAUUAUGCUCCUGCUCAUAAUCUCUUUAUUAUUUCUCCUCAAAAAGUGAAAUAUUCCGAGCGAUUUGCAAGAGACCGAUUUGAGAGAGAAAGCGAUUGUGAGAGAGACAGCAAAAGAAGAAGAGAGAGAGAAGCAAAGAGAAGAGAGAAGACAAAGAAGACCUUGAGUGACCCCCUGCCAGAGAUAACAUCUUCUCAUUUGGGAUCCUCUGGACAAAGGGGUGUCGGAGAUGGGCAUGUGUUCAAGCAAGGACCGCCUUUACAUAAAAGGCUAUCGCCAGGGCUCACAGUGGAUCUACAGGAAGGAGGAGAGGAUCUGUAAGAUCACUGAUUUGGAAAGCAUGAGGAAGGACAUCAUUGGCGAAAUAAAAUGGACAAGCUAUGAUUAUUGUAUAGCUAGAGACAGCCUGGAAUUAACGAGGUGGUGGAAAAUCAGAUUUAUGGCUGAGGUCCUGCAGGACAAGAGGAAGGCCAAAGCCCAACUGAAAUCCCUCUACAAACAACUAGAGGAGAUAAACUGGGCAAUUUUCAGGAAGUACAUGGAUACAUAUCCAGAGAGCCCACCAGCCUCCAGCACCAUCGCAUUUUACACGGUACCACGUAUCGAUGCACCUCUGUGUAGGUGAUCUUCAUGACACAGAGGUGAGUGAGCCAUUCUCCAUUCCACCAGCGGUGCCUCCACUCCAAUACACCAUGAUUCCACCAGUGGUGCUCCCCCCUUACACCUAAAAUAUGGUUACUUAGACAGGAGCACCCUUAGGCCACUUGGUAGACCCUGCAUUCCUUUUCAGUCCAUCCCUCAAACUGCAGAAGCCGGGUCUGCAGGCUGCCUGGGGUCCAAUAGAAUGACGAGGAAUGCAGGGUUCACUUUUUAGCUUAAUGGUGCUCAUGUAUAUGCAGCCAUAGUCCCUUCUAUUUUAGUUCCCUGCACCACAAUUCCAACCACAGUGUCCCUUAUUUCCCUAAUUAUUUGUACUGUAAUUCCACCAGCGGUGCCACACUUACACCUAAAAUAUCGUUCCAUAGACAGGAACACACUCAAGCCACUCGGUAGAUCCUGCAUUCCUUUUCACGCCAUCCCUCAGACUGCAGAAGCCGGGUCUGCAGGCUGCCUGGGGUCCAGUGGAAUGGAGAGGAAUGCAGUGUUCACCUGGCAGCUUAAAGGCGCUCCCAUGUAUAUGUAGCCAUAUUCCCCUCUGUUUCAAUUCCCUCCACCAUAAUUUCACCAGUGCUGCCCCCCUUACACCUAAAAUAUGGUUUCAUAGACAAGAGCACCCUUAAACCACUCAGUAGACCCUGCAUUCCUUUCCAUUCUAUCCCUCAAGACUGCUGAAGCUGGGUUCUGCAGGCUGCCUGGGGUCCAAUGGAAUGGAGAGGAAUGCAGUGUUCAUCUUGUAGGUAAAAGGUGCUUGUGUGUAUGCUGCCAUAUUACCUUCUAUUUCCAUUCCCUUAUCGCAAUUCCAACCACAGUGUCUCUUCUUUCCACCUAAAUAUGGUUCCAUAGACAGGAGCACCUUUAAGCCACUCAGUGAACCCUGCAUUCCUGUCCACUCAUCCCUCAGACUGCAGAAGCCGGGUCUACAGGCUGCCUGGGGUCCAAUAGAAUGGAAUGUAGUGUUCACCUUGUAGCUUAAAGGCGCUUAUGUGCAUGCUGCCAUAUUCCCUUCUGUUUCCCUCACCCUGCUUCCCUUGAUUUAAUUUGGCACAUUUAUCCUGGGAGCAAAUCCGAUCGCUGUUAAGGGGUCAGGAAGGAAUUUUCCCCUCUAGUAGCAGAUUGUCCCAAUCUUGCUAGAGGUUUUUUGCCUUCCUCUGGAUAAAAUAGUGCAGUUUAUCUAAUUAUUAUCAAUAAAACUGUGACUUACACAGA